GAUGAACGCUGACAGAAUGCUUAACACAUGCAAGUCCACUUGAACUUCGGUUUGGGUGGCGGACGGGCGAGUAACGCGUAAAGAACUUGCCUCACAGAUAGGGACAACAUUUGGAAACGAAUGCUAAUACCUGAUAUUAUGAUUUUAGGGCAUCCUAGGAUUAUGAAAGCUAUAUGCGCUGUGAGAGAGCUUUGCGUCCCAUUAGCUAGUUGGAGAGGUAACGGCUCACCAAGGCGAUGAUGGGUAGCCGGCCUGAGAGGGUGAUCGGCCACAAGGGGACUGAGACACGGCCCUUACUCCUACGGGAGGCAGCAGUGGGGAAUAUUGGACAAUGGACCAAGAGUCUGAUCCAGCAAUUCUGUGUGCACGAUGAAGUUUUUCGGAAUGUAAAGUGCUUUCAGUUGGGAAGAAAAAAAUGACGGUACCAACAGAAGAAGUGACGGCUAAAUACGUG
Molecule: ribosomal RNA, 454 nt
Filed under: uncultured bacterium
Lineage: Bacteria
Description: partial 16S ribosomal RNA
Rfam family: Bacterial small subunit ribosomal RNA
Source: RNAcentral